UAACAUAAUGUUUGCAUGUGUUCCACACACCGUGUAUGCGGUGUGGUGCAUGGUAUGGUUCUUCAAAGUGAGGAUGUAAAAAUCCAGGUGUAAUUGUGUAGAAAUCAUACAGUUUCUUUGGGUUUUGUAUCACUUUCCCUGUGUAGAAUAAAGCAGUGCAGGCAUUCAAGGAUAUGUUCAAUUGGUACUUCAACAUUACUGUCGGAAACAAGGUCAUGACAAUGUUUCUGCUACAAACAGCACAUUGAUGUUGGGUGUGCAAGCAGAGUGGGUACAAUUUGAAUGAAAAUAUAUAAACUUAGGGAAAAAAAAAAAAAAAAACCAAAAGGGAAAAAGAAAAAAUCUGUUCAGGUUUUUAGCCAGAUCUGCUGGAUUCAGACAGAAAGUUAAAUCAGGUAAAGAAAAAAAGAGACAAAAUGAAAAUCCAAAGCCCAGACUGAGGUAACAAAAGUAAAUGAAUUUCACAACAUGCAUACAUAGUGGAGGAAUGCUAUAAUCUUAUCCUUGUAACCUCAAUCCACUCUCCUCCCAGCACUUAUUGCUCUCAUUAGUUAGGAAAUAUCUAAAAGCAGAUAGUAAAUUUCUUGUGUGAGGACAGUCUCUUUAAUGUAUUCUGAACAUGCCUGGUAUAACUUCAGAGGUUCUAUACAAAAAUAAUAUUACCUCUUGGGGUUUUUCUGUAUUAUUUCUAAGCACAGGAAACAUUAAAAUGCAGCAAGUCUGGAAAGGUCAAACUGUAUCUCCCCUCAUUCUGUGCAGGACUUCAGAAAUGAUCAAAAGGUUACGCUGAGGUAACUGAUAUGAAACCUGAAACACCGUGAUCACAAAACUUGCAUCAAUUUGUGCCCAUGCAGGCGAAGCAUCAUCUCAUUUCACUCCUGAAAAAUGAUUAUUUUAUUUUACAUUUUAUAGCUGUUUGGAACUGUUUGUUCCUAACAACUACUCCUCACAGAUGUGCAUCAAUGUAGUGUAAUUACACAGAGACACUGUCAGCCUGAAGGAACCCAACCUGUACAUUACACCCAUACUGAGUAUGGAAGGUGAGUGAUUUGUGACUUGGGAUUUGGAAGGCUGCUUUGCUUUCCUGCUCUUCCAUCACCAUUUCUGAGCUGGUAAAAGCAGGAGACUGCCAGCGUGUAGUGCUUGCUCAGACACACUUCCUUCCUUUUUCGUUAUUCCUCUAUGUUGGGCAGAGCUUUGAUGAGGGUUCGGUUGCCAGUGUGUGCUUAGGCUCUGCAUUUAACUACGGAAGGGAAGGAAAGAAAAGUCAGUGCCAGCCACCUGGGUGCAGAAUGGAAGAAGAAAUGUUAUCCAAGGAUGGGAGUAAACCCCUGCUAUUACAAACCAGAUUGGAAAGCAGCAAGGACAAUUUCAAACAGGAACUUCAAAACCAAGAUAGAACCAAAGACUUUUUCAGGAUGAAAGAACACAUCUUUUUCAAGAGAAAGAAGUUGUUGUAGAUCUGUCAGCAAGGCUCUGGGAGUAGGAGGAUGUUUGGAUUUCCGGCAUAUUGCAACGCAGUUCUUGGCCACCAGCAAAGCUCUGUGUGUGAAUCUCAUUUUAUAUCCGUUGUUUGCAAUACCACAUAUUUUAAGAGACAUUUGAAGUAGUCUCUGUACUCCUAAUCCUAGAUAAGUAAUCACAAAUCAUUCCCUAAAGGAAACCGAGAAGGCAGAAUACCUACUUUUACGUAUCUCAUGUCAUGAGAGACUGUGGAUGAAAUGAUGCUGUCACAGAAAUGGAAUUAAAUCUGUUGUAUACUGAAAAAUUUCAGUCUGCAUUCAAAGUUCUUAGCUCAGAUCAGCCUAUUGUUUGCUAUGUUUUUUCUUUCCAGAUUCAGAUAUAGCAGUAUUUUGAAUGACACACUUUUUGCAUUAAAACAUCAUUAGCCAGCUAAUUUUAUUACUCAAUUUUU
Neopsephotus bourkii (Bourke's parrot) is the source of this 1915-nucleotide long non-coding RNA. RefSeq lists it as uncharacterized. NCBI's taxonomy places the organism in Eukaryota, Metazoa, Chordata, Aves, Psittaciformes, Psittacidae. The record is from RefSeq and is a predicted model, not a curated record. The transcript has 3 exons.